Long non-coding RNA from Acanthopagrus latus (yellowfin seabream), 2532 nucleotides. RefSeq lists it as uncharacterized. Lineage: Eukaryota; Metazoa; Chordata; Actinopteri; Spariformes; Sparidae. The record is from RefSeq and is a predicted model, not a curated record. The transcript has 3 exons.
CAGAAACUCUCUGCAGAUACGAGACACUAACACGCCUUUUCUCCACAUUCCAGCCUCCCUCUCUGUCUGUUUACGGCUUCUUACGCCUUUUACGUCUUUGUCUCGUCUCGCUGCGUCUGCCGUGCGUGAUGAGCUCUGACGCCAGAUAAAAAUACAUUUUUUUAGCUACAUUCGAAUAUCUCCCUGACGUCUGUUAGCUAGCAUUAGCUCUCAGGUGUUUGAGUUAAUCAGCAUGUAGUUUCAGAUGUUUGACGCUCUGUAACUUGUAGUUUCUGUCUUUGUAAUCAGCUCGAUGUUCUGUGAAAUAAAAGCAGGCUCAGAAAACAUCGUUAUGAAAUGAACCAUUUUCAGCACAAGUCGUCUCUUUAGCUACUCGUGUUUUACUCAAGUGGUUUUUAGUCUCAGCUGACUGACUGACUGCAGCGUAACAUAAUAAAAUAACUCAGCUGUCGACUUGAUUCCUUCCAUGUAAAGCCUUCAGCGCUCGUUUGAACAUGUUGCCGUGUUCCGUCUGCAGGUUUUGAAACUCCAGUCCAGCCUGAAUGGAGCUGGUUUGACUCGCGAGCGGCGGUCGUGGUUCUGCUCGCUGCUCACACACGGCGCUUCAGUCGAUUUUGACAGGCAAUUAGGAAAAAAAGGCCCACAGAAAUAUUUCUCAAACAAAAGCUCUUGAUAGCUUAAUGGCUGGUAAAUCCAGGCGUCCUGCAGGCCGGAGCCAGGUGGGAGGAUCAGGGGCACCUCCAGAGUCAGGCCUGCAGAUCUGAGCCGGGCCAAACCAGAACACAGCUUACACUGGAUUUUACAGUCAUACGGCAGAUUUAAAACACACACAAACAUUUGACUUCUGUCUUUUUGUCUGAGUGGUUUAAUCUGUAACUCUUUCCUGGGUCAGUAAGCUCCUAUUGGCUGUGAUGGAAACACCAGCUGGACGAGUCGCACGACGCCGCGAGGUCGGCACGCAAAUGCUUCUCAAUCCAACGUUGUUAAAGUAAUGUUCAUACAUCGUUUUCUGGCUUUGAAAGAGAUCAAAGUGAAACUUAUUUUAAAAGGUAACCAUGGUAACACUAAACACUGUGUUUAGUGACGUUCUCUUUUGGACCAUAUUCGUAGUCUUGCGGUUUUUCCUCUUCAGAGCGACUCGUGGUUUUGUUCCUUUGCGUCUGCAGGAUGUUGUUCCUCCAUCGCUGUUCAGAACAUCGUCCAGUUUCAUGAACGUCUGAGCGACCGACUCGUCGGUUUACAGACUAGUCGAUAUUUCUCCGACACUUUUCAAACCUUUCCUGUCUGAACGAGAUCUGUCAGACCCACAAAGUGUGUUAUUUCUGUUGCCGGGGAUAAUUUAGCAUCCUGACGACUGUCGACAGAUGAACUGCGGGGAUUACCAGCCGACCUCUGGAGGAGACGCACGCUCUCUCAUCCACUUUUGUAUUUUUAGAGUUUCUUUUCUUUGACUUUUCUGUGUUUGAACAUGAACUCAACAACAAUUCAACACAACCGAGAAACACACAGGAGAAGCUGUCUGCUCUCCACUAAAACCUCCAGACACUUGGAAGGAUCUGGAAGAGACAAUAAACGCCGUCCCAACAACCAUCAUCUCUGCAGGUCUGGACCGUCUGAACAGGAGAGCUUCAUCCGGCUGAAAGCCUCGAACAUGAGCGCCGAGAGCUGCAGCCUCACUUUGGUCUGAAAACAUCAGACUGACCUGAGAUCUGUCUGAGUUUCCUUCAGAAGACGAUGGGUCGCAGGGGGGCGGAGCCAAUCCCAGCUGGCACUGGGCCAGCAGCGGUCUACACCUUUGACGGGUCGGCACUUCAUCACCAGACUACAAACAAGAAGUGAUAUUUUAAAGAAAGAUGUCGGCUCUGAUGGAGCUCGGUCUUCCCUCUGUUGACAACAGCGGAGUGUCGUCAGGAUCAACGAUCUGCAUCCAUCACAGAAACGUAGUGGAGAAGCAGAAAAUGGAAACACUCAAAUAAAAAGUAUUUAAAUUGUACUUGAGUAAAUGUACUCAGUUACAUUCUGUCACUGGAUCUUUGUACAGCUGAUCAGUAACGAUCGUCUGUCAGCGUUCCUCCGUGUUCACAUCCUGCUAGCUGGACGCCUAUCGGACAUGUUGGAUUUCCCAAGUGCUUUGGGAGUCUCUCGACCAAUCAGAGGUCAGCGCGUCAUCAGAGGGUGACUGUCACUGACAGGGACAACCGCCUGCUGGGUCCUAAAGACAGCAGGGUAUCCUGUCAGAGGAGACGUGAUGUGCUGUGUUUCUACGUUUGUGGGAGUGAAACUCUGAAUAGCUGCUUCAACUUUGGUAUUUUUGGUGAUUGGAAAAGAUUUCAAGAAAAUUCAAUCUUCCCUUUGUUUUUUUCUUCCUUCAUCUUUAUGGUCGUUUGGUUAUUUACACAUUCAUGUAACAUCUCUGAAGCUGAAACUGUGACAGCUCAGGCAGACAGUGGCGUAAUCUUAUGAUAAUAUAAUAACUUUAUUUAUAGAGCACCUUUAAAAUCAGUUUACAAAGUGCUUUAACAGACACGUGAA